GAUGAAGAACGUAGCGAAAUGCGAUAAGUAAUGUGAAUUGCAGAAUUCAGUGAAUCAUCGAAUCUUUGAACGCACAUUGCGCCCGCUAGUAUUCUUGCGGGCAUGCCUGUCCGAGCGUCAUUUCAACCCUCAAGCCCCCGGGCUUGGUGUUGGGGAUCGGCGAGCCUCCGCGCCCGCCGUCCCCUAAAUCUAGUGGCGGUCUCGCUGUAGCUUCCUCUGCGUAGUAGCACACCUCGCACUGGGAAACAGCGCGGCCACGCCGUUAAACCCCCAACUUCUGAACGUUUGACCUCGGAUCAGGUAGGAAUACCCGCUGAACUUAAGCAUAUCAAUAAGCGGAGGA
This 343-nucleotide unclassified non-coding RNA is filed under the name soil metagenome. RNAcentral's name for it is "partial contains 5.8S ribosomal RNA, internal transcribed spacer 2, and large subunit ribosomal RNA". The stretch from base 1 to 120 matches the Rfam family "5.8S ribosomal RNA", at positions 35 to 154 of the family's 154-position model. The record is from RNAcentral.